UAAAAUCAAAGAGUUGGUAGGGCUCUGGUCCUUUAUGGAGAAUCCACUCGUUUUUUUUUCCCCCUCAGCUUCUAACGGCAGCCUGCAUUCCUUGGCCCAUGGUCCGUUCCUGCAUUUUCAAAGCCAGCAAAAGACUGGUUAAGUCUUUCUCACAUUGCAUCACUCUGACUCUGCGUCUUCUGCCUUCCUCUUCAACAUUUAAAAUUCUCUUGUUAUAUUGGUCUCACUGGAUAAUGCAGAAAGAUUUUUUCCCAUCUCAAGGGAGGGAUAUGGGAUUUAUAGAGAAAGGCCAGGAAUGUGACUCUAUGGAGCCCCUCCCAUGGACAUUUGAAGUGAGAGAAAAGGCAAUUUCCCCUCUCCCAUUUCCACACCCAGAAAAUUCUGUGUCUAAGUUAUUACGUUAGCCUUAAUUUGACCACCUGUGUGUCAUAUUUUUCCUCUUAUUGACAAGUUUCUGACUGUAUAUUGUUAGUGCUCUGUAUAUCACUAAUGGUUGGGCUAAAUUCAGACUUUUUUUUAUCAUAUAAGUUUGAGGUAUACAACAUGACAUUUUGGUAUAUGUAUACAUAGUGAAAUGCUUACUACGUGUAAGCAAUUUUACAUAUCCAUCGCCUUCUAUAGUUACCUCUGUGCGUGGUAAGAGAACUUAAAAUCUACUCUUUAGCAAAUUUUCAGUACACAAUACACAAUAUGCAAUAAUACAAUACUAUUAACUAUGGUUUUCCUAUUGUACGUUAGAUCUCUAGACUUAUUUAUUCUACAUAAAUGCAAGUUUGUACCCUUUGACCUACAUCUAUACAUUUCUUUCCCACUGUUGUACUGUUUCUAUGUGUUUGACUUUUUCUCUUCUUUCUUUCAUUUUAUUUUUUAGAUUCCACAUAUAAGUAAGACUAUGCACAGCAAAGGAAGUAGUCAACAAAAUGAAAGGGAACCCUACAGAUUGGGAAAAAUAUAUGUGAACUAUGUACCUGAUAAGGGUAUAUAAAUAUAUGUUUAAUAUUCAAAAUAUAUAACAAACACAAUUCAAUAGUAAAAGAAAAAAAUCCAAUUUUAAAAUGGGAAAAGGAUCUGAAUUAACAUUGUUCCAAAGAAGACAUACAAAUGACAAACAGAUACAUGAAAAGGUGCUCAACAUCGCUAAUCAUCACUAAUAAUUAGGGAAAUAUAAAUCAAAACUACAAUGAGUUAUCAUUUAUACUUGUUAGCUAGCUAUUAGCAAAAAGUCCAUUGAUAAUAAGUGUUGGCAAGAGUGUUGAGAAAAGGGACUUUUGCACACUGUUGAUAGGAAUGUAAAUUGGUACAGCCAUUAUUGGAGACAAUACAGAGGUUUCUAAAAAAGUUAAAAAUAGAACAGCCAUAUGACCUAGCAUAUACGUAUAUGACCAAAGGAAAUAAAAUUAGUAACUUGAAGAGA
Molecule: long non-coding RNA, 1414 nt
Organism: Symphalangus syndactylus (siamang)
Lineage: Eukaryota; Metazoa; Chordata; Mammalia; Primates; Hylobatidae
Source: RefSeq, a predicted model, not a curated record